CCGGUCUAUAGGUAGACCUUUUAGUGUUGUCCGGUCCCUACCGUACAAAAAUUAUUUACUUUAUCUUCUAAAAUGAACAACAUUAAAUCUUCAUUUUAAUGGCAAAUUUUAAUUUUUUUUAUUAUUUUUUUUUAUUUUUGUAUAUGAAUAUCAAUAGGUGUAGACAUUGACACAUGUAUAUAACUUGAAGGCAAAGAUAGCAACUAUGACAUUGCAUGAGCUUCAAGGAACCAUAAAAUUAUACUUUGUAGGGUCUCAG
RNAcentral lists this long non-coding RNA (259 nucleotides) under Vigna radiata. RNAcentral's name for it is "long non-coding RNA (VRAD_LNC001722)". The record is from RNAcentral. Lineage: Eukaryota; Viridiplantae; Streptophyta; Magnoliopsida; Fabales; Fabaceae.